Gallus gallus (chicken) is the source of this 634-nucleotide long non-coding RNA. RefSeq lists it as uncharacterized. The transcript has 2 exons. The record is from RefSeq and is a predicted model, not a curated record. Lineage: Eukaryota; Metazoa; Chordata; Aves; Galliformes; Phasianidae.
GGGGAGGAACGCGGCGCCGGUAGCCCUGAGUGCGGCGUGGGAAGCGCCUCGCCCCGCGACGAGGACUCAGUGCUGCGCCGUGAGCUUCUGUUGACCUGGGGCGGUUUGUUUAUUUCAGGUGACGGCCCGGGGCUCGCCCUAAGCAGCUUUUAUCGGGGGAUAAAGGGCAAACCUCGACGUGGGUCGGGCUGUCCCGCAGGAUGGGAACGGCACGGACUGAAGCCGCUCCUCCUCAAGCCCUGACCCAGUUCUCACGCAGAGCCUUGGCAGCUCGCCGCAGCUAUCCACGUGUUUGAAAAGCAUCGAUCCUGAGUUACUUCUGGAUUGGAAUGCAGCUGAUGCUGUGAGGGGACAAGUCUUCUAAAGAGGCCGAGGAAUAAGAACUGCUCCUUCCCCAGUCCUUACAGCACUGCUCCCCACACUCGUGGGAAACAGCUCCUGCCGAGCGGUUCUCUCCUCUGCACUGCCCUCCUACCAACACACGUGCUGUGACUUUACAUCCCACUGCCAGUCCUCCAGCUUUAAUGCAGCUUCUAUUUAGCUCUAGCUACUUCACAGGGGAGAAAGAGUGUUAAAAAAACCCAAAAAGUGCAAGCCGGGCCCUGUAUAAAUAAUUAACAUCGGUUUAACAGCA